CAGCCGCCGCGGGAACACAGAGGGUGCAAGCGUUAAUCGGAAUUACUGGGCGUAAAGCGCGCGUAGGUGGUUUGUUAAGUUGGAUGUGAAAUCCCCGGGCUCAACCUGGGAACUGCAUCCAAAACUGGCAAGCUAGAGUAUGGUAGAGGGUGGUGGAAUUUCCUGUGUAGCGGUGAAAUGCGUAGAUAUAGGAAGAAACACCAGUGGCGAAGGCGACCACCUGGACUGAUACUGACACUGAGGUGCGAAAGCGUGGGGAGCAAACAGGAUUAGAGACCCCGGUAGUCCCUGUCUCUUAUAC
This 301-nucleotide ribosomal RNA is filed under the name uncultured bacterium. RNAcentral describes it as "partial 16S ribosomal RNA". It matches the Rfam family "Bacterial small subunit ribosomal RNA", at positions 509 to 807 of the family's 1533-position model. The record is from RNAcentral.